RNAcentral lists this unclassified non-coding RNA (341 nucleotides) under soil metagenome. RNAcentral's name for it is "partial contains 5.8S ribosomal RNA, internal transcribed spacer 2, and large subunit ribosomal RNA". The stretch from base 1 to 120 matches the Rfam family "5.8S ribosomal RNA", at positions 35 to 154 of the family's 154-position model. The record is from RNAcentral.
GAUGAAGAACGCAGCGAAAUGCGAUAAGUAGUGUGAAUUGCAGAAUUCAGUGAAUCAUCGAAUCUUUGAACGCACAUUGCGCCCUUUGGUAUUCCAAAGGGCAUGCCUGUUCGAGCGUCAUUUGUACCCUCAAGCUUUGCUUGGUGUUGGGCGUCUUGUCUCUAGCUUUGCUGGGGACUCGCCUUAAAGUAAUUGGCAGCCGGCCUACUGGUUUCGGAGCGCAGCACAAGUCGCACUCUCUAUCAGCAAAGGUCUAGCAUCCAUUAAGCCUUUUUUUCAACUUUUGACCUCGGAUCAGGUAGGGAUACCCGCUGAACUUAAGCAUAUCAAUAAGCGGAGGA